Molecule: ribosomal RNA, 304 nt
Filed under: uncultured bacterium
Lineage: Bacteria
Description: bacterial SSU rRNA
Rfam family: Bacterial small subunit ribosomal RNA
Source: RNAcentral
AACGAACGCUGGCGGCAUGCCUAACACAUGCAAGUCGAACGAAGUCUUCGGACUUAGUGGCGCACGGGUGCGUAACGCGUGGGAAUCUGCCCUUGGGUGCGGAAUAACUUCUCGAAAGGGAUGCUAAUACCGCAUAAUGUCGUAAGACCAAAGAUUUAUCGCCCAAGGAUGAGCCCGCGUAAGAUUAGCUAGUUGGUGGGUAAAAGCCUACCAAGGCGACGAUCUUUAGCUGGUCUGAGAGGAUGAUCAGCCACACUGGGACUGAGCACGGCCCAGACUCCUACGGGAGCAGCAGUGGGGAAUA